GUCCACGCCGUAAACGAUGCGCACUAGAUCGGUGCGGCUCUGACGCCGGAUCGGUCGGAGUAAAACGAUAAGUGCGCCGCCUGGGGAGUACGGUCGCAAGGCUAAAACUCAAAGGAAUUGACGGGGGCUCACACAAGCGGUGGAGCAUGUUGCUUAAUUCGAUGCAACGCGAAGAACCUUACCUGGGCUUGACAUGGCCGGAUUAGUCCGCGGAAACGUGGAUGACACCCGCAAGGGUGGAACGGUCACAGGUGCUGCAUGGCUGUCGU
RNAcentral lists this ribosomal RNA (269 nucleotides) under uncultured bacterium. Its description in RNAcentral is "partial 16S ribosomal RNA". It matches the Rfam family "Bacterial small subunit ribosomal RNA", at positions 793 to 1055 of the family's 1533-position model. The record is from RNAcentral.